RNAcentral lists this ribosomal RNA (228 nucleotides) under Escherichia coli. Its description in RNAcentral is "partial 16S ribosomal RNA". It matches the Rfam family "Bacterial small subunit ribosomal RNA", at positions 1 to 225 of the family's 1533-position model. Lineage: Bacteria; Pseudomonadati; Pseudomonadota; Gammaproteobacteria; Enterobacterales; Enterobacteriaceae. RNAcentral also lists the same sequence under 1 other name. The record is from RNAcentral.
AAAUUGAAGAGUUUGAUCAUGGCUCAGAUUGAACGCUGGCGGCAGGCCUAACACAUGCAAGUCGAACGGUAACAGGAAACAGCUUGCUGUUUCGCUGACGAGUGGCGGACGGGUGAGUAAUGUCUGGGAAACUGCCUGAUGGAGGGGGAUAACUACUGGAAACGGUAGCUAAUACCGCAUAACGUCGCAAGACCAAAGAGGGGGACCUUCGGGCCUCUUGCCAUCGGA